RNAcentral lists this ribosomal RNA (197 nucleotides) under uncultured bacterium. RNAcentral's name for it is "partial 16S ribosomal RNA". It matches the Rfam family "Bacterial small subunit ribosomal RNA", at positions 328 to 539 of the family's 1533-position model. The record is from RNAcentral.
ACGCUCGACACCUACGGAGGCAGCAGUGGGGAAUAUUGCACAAUGGGGGAAACCCUGAUGCAGCGACGCCGCGUGAGCGAAGAAGUAUUUCGGUAUGUAAAGCUCUAUCAGCAGGGAAGAAACUGACGGUACCUGACUAAGAAGCACCGGCUAAAUACGUGCCAGCAGCCGUGGUAAUCUGAGCGGGCUGGCAAGGC